GAUGAACGCUGGCGGCGUGCCUAAUACAUGCAAGUCGAGCGAACAGAUAAGGAGCUUGCUCCUUUGACGUUAGCGGCGGACGGGUGAGUAACACGUGUGUAACCUACCUAUAAGACUGGGAUAACUUCGGGAAACCGGAGCUAAUACCGUAUAACAUUUUGAACCGCAUGGUUCUAAAGUGAAAGAUGGUUGUGCUAUCACUUAUAGAUGGACCCGGGCCGUAUUAGCUAGUUGGUAAGGUAACGGCUUACGAAGGCGACGAGACGUAGGCGAGGUGAGAGGGGGAUAGGCCACACGGGAACUUGAACAGGCACAAGACGCCUACGGGAGGCAGCAGUAGGGUACCUUACGCAGUAGGCGGAAGCCUGACGGAGCAGCGCGGCGUGAGAGAUGGAGGCGCCGGGCUCGUAAAGAUCUGUUUUUAGGGAAGAACCGAUGUGUCCGUAGAUGUGGACGGACUGACGGUAACUAGUAAAGAAGCAACGGCUAACUACGUG
RNAcentral lists this ribosomal RNA (497 nucleotides) under uncultured bacterium. RNAcentral describes it as "partial 16S ribosomal RNA". It matches the Rfam family "Bacterial small subunit ribosomal RNA", at positions 28 to 507 of the family's 1533-position model. The record is from RNAcentral.